ACUCCUACGGGAGGCAGCAGUGGGGAAUUUUGCGCAAUGGGGGAAACCCUGACGCAGCAACGCCGCGUGAGUGAUGAAGGCCCUUGGGUCGUAAAGCUCUGACAGAGGGAAAGAAGUGUAGAGUGGCUAAUAUCCACAUUACUUGACGGUACCCUCAAAGGAAGCACCGGCUAACUCCGUGCCAGCAGCCGCGGUAAUACGGGGGGUGCAAGCGUUGUUCGGAUUUAUUGGGCGUAAAGCGCGUGUAGGCGGUCUUUUAAGUCUGAUGUGAAAGCCCUGGGCUCAACCCGGGAAGUGCAUUGGAAACUGGGAGACUUGAAUACGGGAGAGGGUAGUGGAAUUCCUGGUGUAGGAGUGAAAUCCGUAGAUAUCAGGAGGAACACCGGUGGCGAAGGCGGCUGCCUGGACCGAUAUUGACGCUGAGACGCGAAAGCGUGGGGAGCAAACAGGAUUAGAUACCCUGGUAGUCCACGCCGUAAACGAUGAGAACUAGGUGUCGCGGGUA
RNAcentral lists this ribosomal RNA (505 nucleotides) under uncultured Geobacter sp. RNAcentral's name for it is "bacterial SSU rRNA". It matches the Rfam family "Bacterial small subunit ribosomal RNA", at positions 335 to 831 of the family's 1533-position model. Lineage: Bacteria; Pseudomonadati; Thermodesulfobacteriota; Desulfuromonadia; Geobacterales; Geobacteraceae. The record is from RNAcentral.